GUAGUCUCGCACAGAUGCAUAUCAAUAAGCGGAGGAAAAGAAACUAACAAGGAUUCUCCUAGUAACGGCGAGUGAAGCGGGAAGAGCUCAAAUUUGAAAUCUUAAAGGGUUUCCCUUUACGAAUUGUAGUUUAAAGAAGUGUUUUCUGUUGAGGUUUUGGUAAAAGUUCUUUGGAAUAGGACAUCAUAGAGGGUGAGAAUCCCGUAUUUGACCUUUACUUUCAACUUUGUGAUACACUUUCAAAGAGUCGGAUUGUUUGGGAAUGCAGUCCAAAAUGGGUGGUAAAUUUCAUCUAAAGCUAAAUAUUGGCGAGAGACCGAUAGCGAACAAGUACCGUGAGGGAAAGAUGAAAAGAACUUUGAAAAGAGAGUUAAACAGUACGUGAAAUUGUCAAAAGGGAAGCGUUUGACACCAGUGUUGUUUUUCUGAAAAUCAAUUAAAGAACUGUUUAUGCUAAGCUGUUUAGACUUUAUCAGCUAACUGUUUAGUUUUGAGCUUUUCUUUAAUGCACUUUUCAGUUAACAAGUCAACAUCAAUUUCUUUUGCUGUAAAAAAGCUUGAGGAAGGUGGCUUGAGAUUCGUCUUAAGUGUUUAUAGCCUCUUGCCUAUGCAGUCGGAGAGAUUGAGGUCUGCAGCGUAGAUCCUUCGGGGCUAAAUGCAUUUGUGCUAAGUUAUAGCAUUUUAUAGACAACUUGUUGACUAUGAUUUGUCUUGUAGCUUACUCGCUUAUGUUAUUUUACCUACGCUUAGGAUGUUGAAGACUCUACAGAGAUA
This 774-nucleotide ribosomal RNA is filed under the name uncultured Neocallimastigales. Its description in RNAcentral is "partial large subunit ribosomal RNA". It matches the Rfam family "Eukaryotic large subunit ribosomal RNA", at positions 24 to 633 of the family's 3401-position model. Lineage: Eukaryota; Fungi; Neocallimastigomycota; Neocallimastigomycetes; Neocallimastigales. The record is from RNAcentral.